RNAcentral lists this ribosomal RNA (568 nucleotides) under uncultured Phenylobacterium sp. RNAcentral's name for it is "bacterial SSU rRNA". It matches the Rfam family "Bacterial small subunit ribosomal RNA", at positions 329 to 915 of the family's 1533-position model. The record is from RNAcentral. Lineage: Bacteria; Pseudomonadati; Pseudomonadota; Alphaproteobacteria; Caulobacterales; Caulobacteraceae.
CAGGUCACUCCUACGGGAGGCAGCAGUAGGGAAUCUUGCGCAAUGGGCGAAAGCCUGACGCAGCCAUGCCGCGUGAAUGAUGAAGGUCUUAGGAUUGUAAAAUUCUUUCACCGGGGAAGAUAAUGACGGUACCCGGAGAAGAAGCCCCGGCUAACUUCGUGCCAGCAGCCGCGGUAAUACGAAGGGGGCUAGCGUUGCUCGGAAUUACUGGGCGUAAAGGGCGCGUAGGCGGAUACUUAAGUUGGGGGUGAAAGCCCGGGGCUCAACCUCGGAAUUGCCUUCAAUACUGGGUAUCUUGAGUUCGGGAGAGGUGAGUGGAAUGCCGAGUGUAGAGGUGAAAUUCGUAGAUAUUCGGCGGAACACCAGUGGCGAAGGCGACUCACUGGCCCGAUACUGACGCUGAGGCGCGAAAGCGUGGGGAGCAAACAGGAUUAGAUACCCUGGUAGUCCACGCUGUAAACGAUGAGUGCUAGUUGUCGGCAUGCAUGCAUGUCGGUGACGCAGCUAACGCAUUAAGCACUCCGCCUGGGGAGUACGGUCGCAAGAUUAAAACUCAAAGGAAUUGACG